Molecule: ribosomal RNA, 468 nt
Filed under: uncultured bacterium
Lineage: Bacteria
Description: partial 16S ribosomal RNA
Rfam family: Bacterial small subunit ribosomal RNA
Source: RNAcentral
GACGAACGCUGGCGGCGUGCUUAACACAUGCAAGUCGAACGGUGAAGCUCCAGCUUGCUGGAGUGGAUCAGUGGCGAACGGGUGAGUAACACGUGAGCAACCUGCCCCAGACUCUGGAAUAAGCGCUGGAAACGGCGUCUAAUACUGGAUACGAGAUCAAGCCGCAUGGUUAUGGUCUGGAAAGUUGUUCGGUUUGGGAUGGGCUCGCGGCCUAUCAGCUUGUUGGUGAGGUAAUGGCUCACCAAGGCGACGACGGGUAGCCGGCCUGAGAGGGCGACCGGCCACACUGGGACUGAGACACGGCCCAGACUCCUACGGGAGGCAGCAGUGGGGAAUAUUGCACAAUGGGCGAAAGCCUGAUGCAGCGACGCCGCGUGAGGGAUGACGGCCUUCGGGUUGUAAACCUCUUUGAGCAGGGAAGAAGCGAAAGUGACGGUACCUGCAGAAGAAGCACCGGCUAACUACGUG